GUACACAAAAAUGCACAUAUUGUGAGCUCGAUGAGUAGGGCGGGACACGUGGUAUCCUGUCUGAAUAUGGGGGGACCAUCCUCCAAGGCUAAAUACUCCUGACUGACCGAUAGUGAACCAGUACCGUGAGGGAAAGGCGAAAAGAACCCCGGCGAGGGGAGUGAAAAAGAACCUGAAACCGUGUACGUACAAGCAGUGGGAGCCUCUUUAUGGGGUGACUGCGUACCUUUUGUAUAAUGGGUCAGCGACUUAUAUUCUGUAGCAAGGUUAACCGAAUAGGGGAGCCGAAGGGAAACCGAGUCUUAACUGGGCGUUAAGUUGCAGGGUAUAGACCCGAAACCCGGUGAUCUAGCCAUGGGCAGGUUGAAGGUUGGGUAACACUAACUGGAGGACCGAACCGACUAAUGUUGAAAAAUUAGCGGAUGACUUGUGGCUGGGGGUGAAAGGCCAAUCAAACCGGGAGAUAGCUGGUUCUCCCCGAAAGCUAUUUAGGUAGCGCCUCGUGAAUUCAUCUCCGGGGGUAGAGCACUGUUUCGGCAAGGGGGUCAUCCCGACUUACCAACCCGAUGCAAACUGCGAAUACCGGAGAAUGUUAUCACGGGAGACACACGGCGGGUGCUAACGUCCGUCGUGAAGAGGGAAACAACCCAGACCGCCAGCUAAGGUCCCAAAGUCAUGGUUAAGUGGGAAACGAUGUGGGAAGGCCCAGACAGCCAGGAUGUUGGCUUAGAAGCAGCCAUCAUUUAAAGAAAGCGUAAUAGCUCACUGGUCGAGUCGGCCUGCGCGGAAGAUGUAACGGGGCUAAACCAUGCACCGAAGCUGCGGCAGCGACACUAUGUGUUGUUGGGUAGGGGAGCGUUCUGUAAGCCUGUGAAGGUGGCCUGUGAGGGUUGCUGGAGGUAUCAGAAGUGCGAAUGCUGACAUAAGUAACGAUAAAGCGGGUGAAAAGCCCGCUCGCCGGAAGACCAAGGGUUCCUGUCCAACGUUAAUCGGGGCAGGGUGAGUCGACCCCUAAGGCGAGGCCGAAAGGCGUAGUCGAUGGGAAACAGGUUAAUAUUCCUGUACUUGGUGUUACUGCGAAGGGGGGACGGAGAAGGCUAUGUUGGCCGGGCGACGGUUGUCCCGGUUUAAGCGUGUAGGCUGGUUUUCCAGGCAAAUCCGGAAAACCAAGGCUGAGGCGUGAUGACGAGGCACUACGGUGCUGAAGCGACAAAUGCCCUGCUUCCAGGAAAAGCCUCUAAGCAUCAGGUAACAUCAAAUCGUACCCCAAACCGACACAGGUGGUCAGGUAGAGAAUACCAAGGCGCUUGAGAGAACUCGGGUGAAGGAACUAGGCAAAAUGGUGCCGUAACUUCGGGAGAAGGCACGCUGAUAUGUAGGUGAAGCGACUUGCUCGUGGAGCUGAAAUCAGUCGAAGAUACCAGCUGGCUGCAACUGUUUAUUAAAAACACAGCACUGUGCAAACACGAAAGUGGACGUAUACGGUGUGACGCCUGCCCGGUGCCGGAAGGUUAAUUGAUGGGGUUAGCGGUAACGCGAAGCUCUUGAUCGAAGCCCCGGUAAACGGCGGCCGUAACUAUAACGGUCCUAAGGUAGCGAAAUUCCUUGUCGGGUAAGUUCCGACCUGCACGAAUGGCGUAAUGAUGGCCAGGCUGUCUCCACCCGAGACUCAGUGAAAUUGAACUCGCUGUGAAGAUGCAGUGUACCCGCGGCAAGACGGAAAGACCCCGUGAACCUUUACUAUAGCUUGACACUGAACAUUGAGCCUUGAUGUGUAGGAUAGGUGGGAGGCUUUGAAGUGUGGACGCCAGUCUGCAUGGAGCCGACCUUGAAAUACCACCCUUUAAUGUUUGAUGUUCUAACGUUGGCCCGUAAUCCGGGUUGCGGACAGUGUCUGGUGGGUAGUUUGACUGGGGCGGUCUCCUCCUAAAGAGUAACGGAGGAGCACGAAGGUUGGCUAAUCCUGGUCGGACAUCAGGAGGUUAGUGCAAUGGCAUAAGCCAGCUUGACUGCGAGCGUGACGGCGCGAGCAGGUGCGAAAGCAGGUCAUAGUGAUCCGGUGGUUCUGAAUGGAAGGGCCAUCGCUCAACGGAUAAAAGGUACUCCGGGGAUAACAGGCUGAUACCGCCCAAGAGUUCAUAUCGACGGCGGUGUUUGGCACCUCGAUGUCGGCUCAUCACAUCCUGGGGCUGAAGUAGGUCCCAAGGGUAUGGCUGUUCGCCAUUUAAAGUGGUACGCGAGCUGGGUUUAGAACGUCGUGAGACAGUUCGGUCCCUAUCUGCCGUGGGCGCUGGAGAACUGAGGGGGGCUGCUCCUAGUACGAGAGGACCGGAGUGGACGCAUCACUGGUGUUCGGGUUGUCAUGCCAAUGGCACUGCCCGGUAGCUAAAUGCGGAAGAGAUAAGUGCUGAAAGCAUCUAAGCACGAAACUUGCCCCGAGAUGAGUUCUCCCUGAGACUUAGAGUCUCCUGAAGGAACGUUGAAGACGACGACGUUGAUAGGCCGGGUGUGUAAGCGCAGCGAUGCGUUGAGCUAACCGGUACUAAUGAACCGUGAGGCUUAACCUU
Molecule: ribosomal RNA, 2567 nt
Filed under: Escherichia coli
Lineage: Bacteria; Pseudomonadati; Pseudomonadota; Gammaproteobacteria; Enterobacterales; Enterobacteriaceae
Description: partial 23S ribosomal RNA
Rfam family: Bacterial large subunit ribosomal RNA
Source: RNAcentral